GAUGAACGCUGGCGGCGUGCCUAAUACAUGCAAGUCGAGCGAACGGACGUGAUGUUCGCUUCUCUGAUGUUAUCGGCGGACGGGGGAGUAACAAGUGGAUAACCUACCUAUAAGACUGGGAUAACUUAGAGAAACCGUAGACAAUACCGGAUAAUCUUUUGAACCGCAUGGUUCAAAAGUGAGAGACGGCCUUGCUGUUACUUAUAGAUGGUUACGCGCUGCAUUAGCUAGUUGGUAAGGUAACGGCUUACCAAGGCAACGAUGCAUAGCCGACCUGAGAGUGUGAUCGGCCACACUGGAACUGAGACACGGUCCAGGCUCCUACGGGAGGCAGCAGUAGGGAAUCUUCCGCAAUGGGCGAAAGCCUGACGGAGCAACGCCGCGUGAGUGAUGAAGGUCUUCGGAUCGUAAAACUCUGUUAUUAGGGAAGAACAUAUGUGUAAGUAACUGUGCACAUCUUGACGGUACCUAAACAGAAAGCCACGGCUAACUACGUG
RNAcentral lists this ribosomal RNA (497 nucleotides) under uncultured bacterium. Its description in RNAcentral is "partial 16S ribosomal RNA". It matches the Rfam family "Bacterial small subunit ribosomal RNA", at positions 28 to 507 of the family's 1533-position model. The record is from RNAcentral.